UUGCUCACUUUGGUAGCACAUAUACUGACAUUAGAACAAUACAGAGAAGAUUAGCAUGGCCCCUGUGCAAGGAUGACACGCGUAUUAGUAAUGAGAGAGCCCAGACCUGG
Small nuclear RNA from Myotis myotis, 110 nucleotides. The record is from RefSeq and is a predicted model, not a curated record. Lineage: Eukaryota; Metazoa; Chordata; Mammalia; Chiroptera; Vespertilionidae.